RNAcentral lists this ribosomal RNA (117 nucleotides) under Staphylococcus cohnii. RNAcentral describes it as "partial 23S ribosomal RNA". It matches the Rfam family "Bacterial large subunit ribosomal RNA", at positions 1 to 116 of the family's 2925-position model. Lineage: Bacteria; Bacillati; Bacillota; Bacilli; Caryophanales; Staphylococcaceae. The record is from RNAcentral.
AGAUUAAGUUAUUAAGGGCGCACGGUGGAUGCCUUGGCACUAGAAGCCGAUGAAGGACGUUACUAACGACGAUAUGCUUUGGGGAGCUGUAAGUAAGCUGUGAUCCAAAGAUUUCCG